UGCUAUCACUCUUGGAUGGACCUGCGGUGCAUUAGCUAGUUGGUAAGGUAACGGCUUACCAAGGCAAUGAUGCAUAGCCGAGUUGAGAGACUGAUCGGCCACAUUGGGACUGAGACACGGCCCAAACUCCUACGGGAGGCAGCAGUAGGGAAUCUUCCACAAUGGACGAAAGUCUGAUGGAGCAACGCCGCGUGAGUGAAGAAGGGUUUCGGCUCGUAAAGCUCUGUUGGUAGUGAAGAAAGAUAGAGGUAGUAACUGGCCUUUAUUUGACGGUAAUUACUUAGAAAGUCACGGCUAACUACGUGCCAGCAGCCGCGGUAAUACGUAGGUGGCAAGCGUUGUCCGGAUUUAUUGGGCGUAAAGCGAGUGCAGGCGGUUCAAUAAGUCUGAUGUGAAAGCCUUCGGCUCAACCGGAGAAUUGCAUCAGAAACUGUUGAACUUGAGUGCAGAAGAGGAGAGUGGAACUCCAUGUGUAGCGGUGGAAUGCGUAGAUAUAUGGAAGAACACCAGUGGCGAAGGCGGCUCUCUGGUCUGCAACUGACGCUGAGGCUCGAAAGCAUGGGUAGCGAACAGGAUUAGAUACCCUGGUAGUCCAUGCCGUAAACGAUGAGUGCUAAGUGUUGGGAG
This 627-nucleotide ribosomal RNA is filed under the name uncultured bacterium. RNAcentral's name for it is "bacterial SSU rRNA". It matches the Rfam family "Bacterial small subunit ribosomal RNA", at positions 210 to 829 of the family's 1533-position model. The record is from RNAcentral.